GGGAGGUAGUGACAAUAAAUAACAACGCAGGGCUCUUUCGGGUCUUGUUAUUGGAAUGAGUACGAUUUAAAUCUCCUAACGAGGAACAAUUGGAGGGCAAGUCUGGUGCCAGCAGCCGCGGUAAUUCCAGCUCCAAUAGCGUAUAUUAAAGUUGUUGCAGUUAAAAAGCUCGUAGUUGAAUUUCGGGAUUCUACCGUUGGUCGGGCUAACAAGUCUGUACUGGUGUGUAGAAUUUCUACCUUCUGGGGAACUAUCAUGUUAUUAAUUUAGCGUGGUGGGAAACCAGGACCUUUACCUUGAAAAAUUAGAGUGUUCAAAGCAGGCUUACGUCUGAAUACAUUAGCAUGGAAUAAUAGAAUAGGACGGUGGUCCUGUUUUGUUGGUUUCUGAAUCACCGUAAUGAUUAAUAGGGAUAGUUGGG
Molecule: ribosomal RNA, 421 nt
Filed under: uncultured Gigasporaceae
Lineage: Eukaryota; Fungi; Glomeromycota; Glomeromycetes; Diversisporales; Gigasporaceae
Description: SSU rRNA
Rfam family: Eukaryotic small subunit ribosomal RNA
Source: RNAcentral